CCCAAAAGGACCAAUCAUUCCAAAUUCAAAGUCUCAGUUCCCGGAACCUUCUAGAAGGAACCCCCAGGAAUGCCAAGCCCUAUUUCUCUUUAGUGCUCCAGGCCUGGUUCUCUGCCUGGGUGGACUGUUUCUGGGGCUGUUCCAUCUAUAUCUGCAGCUUCUUCUAAUCCUCUUUUCAGUUAAGCCCCAGUGCAUCUUUCUGGAAAUUGCCCCAAGCAUAAAAAAUCAGCAGCACAGGACAGGGGCUGCCUCCCAUCCCAGACAAGUGAGCCAAAUGCUCUUUUACUCUGAAUUAUUCUCUCUACACAAAUAUUCUUUUCAAAAAGACUCAUCCUGGGCUCUCCCUCAAAUGAAAAUUUUCAGUAAGCUUGCCCCACCGUGUCCCUUUCCCCAGUUGCUGUGCCAAAUCAGAACCAUAAAGAUUAUCAGAGAACAAAACUUCAAAAAGACAGACCCAGUCCAUCCGCUCUUACUUCAGGAAGGACCAAAACUAAACAUACCUCAACUAAAAGGAAAUCUAGGGGCCGGCCAGGUGGCACAGCGGUUAAGUUCGCAUGUUCCACUUCAGCAGCCUGGGGUUCGCUGGUUCGGAUCCCGGGUGCAGACAGGGCACCGCUUGGCAAGCCAUGCUGUGGUAGGCGUCCCACGUAUAAAGUAGAGGAAGAUGGGCACGGAUGUUAGCUCAGGGCCAGUCUUCCUCAACAAAAAGAGGAGGAUUGGCAGAUGUUAGCUUAGGGCUAAUCUGCCUCAAAAAAAAAAAAAAAGGGAAAUCUAAAAGCCAGUAUUUUUAAGUUGAGAUUAAGAUUCCAAAAUGUCAGCAAAAACCCAGUAUAAUGUUAACCAAGUCCAACCCCAAGUUUAUUUUUCCCAUACCCAAUGCUCACCCUUAGUAACUCCAACAGGUCUUACUCCUCUUUCCCUACUUCCACUUAGGCAAUGGACAUCCAAGGAAAUGUCUAUAUAUCCAAAAGAAGAUAGGAUGAAGUCAUAGUUUGAACAAUUCAAGUCAAAAACCACUCUCCAUUAAAUUAACUGAGACAUGUGCAGAAACGGCUUGAGUCCCACAUGACAUUACAGCCAGCUCCUCCCUGAAUGCAGCAGACGAGCAAUGAUCUCUGGGACUCUAAAUGUUGUUUCUCUUUGGACACAAGUCAGUGAGACUGAUCAACUGGGCACAAAGCAUGAGGAAAACCAACCUGAAAAAUCCUAUUUCCGACAAAGAUCCUGCAAGUCCACUAUGACGACCAGCCAGCCACUGAAGGGUGAGCGGAAGGUGGAGGGUAGAGAGAAGUCCGUAUCACGUCAAACAGCCGUUAGGGGUACACAAAGCAGCACCUUUAGAGCUGGUGUCAAGAUGUGCACCAAAAAACACUAGUUCACAGGAGACUGUACAAAAUGGACCCACAGGCAAACACUGGAUUAAAUGAAGAUUUUUUUCUGGAGGACUUCUCGAAUAUGUUAAUGGGGAGAGAAGAUGAACUUGACAGCAGAAACCUUUAUUCACAAUGUACUUCCAGUCACCUGGGUUUUAGUGAACACACUUUGGGAAGCAUCACAUUAGAGAGUCAGUGGCGCCUUUCACAGCUUCAGAGAUGGAAGUGCCAGGUACACUGUGGGACAGAUUGAGCAUCUCUUCCCUGGGAAGCCUUGCCUCACACACCCAACCAGGGUAGGUGCUGGUCUGGGAUGCACUGAGUCCUUCUCCUCCUGGUUAGCACACACCACACUUUAUCAUACUUAGUUCUUUAGUUGUCAGUCUUUCCCUAAAGACUGAGAGCUUCCAGCAGGCAGAAGCAGUGGCCACCCUGGUCAGUUUCUAUCCUGGUCAGUUUCCAAGUGCAGCAUUUGGAACAGCGCCCAAUGCUUGGGAAGCCAAACUGAAUGAAUGGAGCUGGACAAGCCAGGAGGCCACUGAGAGGCCACUGCUCUCAUUCAAGGGAGAGAUGACCAUGUCAGGGGGAAGGAAUUAGAAAGCUUUUAACAACUAAACUUUUUUAAUUUUUCUCUAGUCUGUUGAUAUCAUUCAAAACACUGAAUGAAAAGCGUCAAGUCAAUUACGUUACGAACAUUCAACGGUAAACUUGAUCUGUUGAGUGAAGUCUGCGAGUUCAUCUUCCUGCGGAAAGUCAGAAAGGACCAUGGUUUGAGCACUUUUGCAAGUGAAAGUAAGACACAGUUCUAGGCGAAGAGAGACUGCGACGAAAUUGAGAUAAAUUUGCUUUCUUUUGUUUUCAGAACAAUUCUGCAAAGCCUCAAAGUAGAGGACAGAGACAUUUCAAAUCCUUCUGACAGUCUACGUCUUUGCUUUGAUUUUUAGAAAUGAUUUCAAGCAGGCACAUAAUG
RNAcentral lists this long non-coding RNA (2343 nucleotides) under Equus asinus (donkey). Its description in RNAcentral is "lncRNA (ENSEASG00005025818.1)". The record is from RNAcentral. Lineage: Eukaryota; Metazoa; Chordata; Mammalia; Perissodactyla; Equidae.